GGGGGUGAAAGGCCAAUCAAACCGGGAGAUAGCUGGUUCUCCCCGAAAGCUAUUUAGGUAGCGCCUCGUGAAUUCAUCUCCGGGGGUAGAGCACUGUUUCGGCUAGGGGGCCAUCCCGGCUUACCAACCCGAUGCAAACUGCGAAUACCGGAGAAUGUUAUCACGGGAGACACACGGCGGGUGCUAACGUCCGUCGUGAAGAGGGAAACAACCCAGACCGCCAGCUAAGGUCCCAAAGUCAUGGUUAAGUGGGAAACGAUGUGGGAAGGCCCAGACAGCCAGGAUGUUGGCUUAGAAGCAGCCAUCAUUUAAAGAAAGCGUAAUAGCUCACUGGUCGAGUCGGCCUGCGCGGAAGAUGUAACGGGGCUAAACCAUGCACCGAAGCUGCGGCAGCGAACGUAUCACCCAAGACAACUUUACGGAGUUGACGAUUGACGGAGCGAAGCGACGUCAAAGCGUUCAUUAAAGUCGAGUUGGCUUAGGGAUACGUUCGUUGGGUAGGGGAGCGUUCUGUAAGCCUGUGAAGGUGUGUCGUGAGGCAUGCUGGAGGUAUCAGAAGUGCGAAUGCUGACAUAAGUAACGAUAAAGCGGGUGAAAAGCCCGCUCGCCGGAAGACCAAGGGUUCCUGUCCAACGUUAAUCGGGGCAGGGUGAGUCGACCCCUAAGGCGAGGCCGAAAGGCGUAGUCGAUGGGAAACGGGUUAAUAUUCCCGUACUUGGUGUUACUGCGAAGGGGGGACGGAGAAGGCUAUGUUGGCCGGGCGACGGUUGUCCCGGUUUAAGCGUGUAGGUGUGUGUUCCAGGUAAAUCCGGUUCACUUUAACACUGAGGCGUGACGACGAGGCACUACGGUGCUGAAGCAACAAAUGCCCUGCUUCCAGGAAAAGCCUCUAAGCAUCAGGUAACAUCAAAUCGUACCCCAAACCGACACAGGUGGUCAGGUAGAGAAUACCAAGGCGCUUGAGAGAACUCGGGUGAAGGAACUAGGCAAAAUGGUGCCGUAACUUCGGGAGAAGGCACGCUGACACGUAGGUGAAGUGAUUUACUCAUGGAGCUGAAGUCAGUCGAAGAUACCAGCUGGCUGCAACUGUUUAUUAAAAACACAGCACUGUGCAAACACGAAAGUGGACGUAUACGGUGUGACGCCUGCCCGGUGCCGGAAGGUUAAUUGAUGGGGUCAGCGCAAGCGAAGCUCCUGAUCGAAGCCCCGGUAAACGGCGGCCGUAACUAUAACGGUCCUAAGGUAGCGAAAUUCCUUGUCGGGUAAGUUCCGACCUGCACGAAUGGCGUAAUGAUGGCCAGGCUGUCUCCACCCGAGACUCAGUGAAAUUGAACUCGCUGUGAAGAUGCAGUGUACCCGCGGCAAGACGGAAAGACCCCGUGAACCUUUACUAUAGCUUGACACUGAACAUUGAGCCUUGAUGUGUAGGAUAGGUGGGAGGCUUUGAAGUGUGGACGCCAGUCUGCAUGGAGCCGACCUUGAAAUACCACCCUUUAAUGUUUGAUGUUCUAACGUGGACCCGUAAUCCGGGUUGCGGACAGUGUCUGGUGGGUAGUUUGACUGGGGCGGUCUCCUCCUAAAGAGUAACGGAGGAGCACGAAGGUUGGCUAAUCCUGGUCGGACAUCAGGAGGUUAGUGCAAUGGCAUAAGCCAGCUUGACUGCGAGCGUGACGGCGCGAGCAGGUGCGAAAGCAGGUCAUAGUGAUCCGGUGGUUCUGAAUGGAAGGGCCAUCGCUCAACGGAUAAAAGGUACUCCGGGGAUAACAGGCUGAUACCGCCCAAGAGUUCAUAUCGACGGCGGUGUUUGGCACCUCGAUGUCGGCUCAUCACAUCCUGGGGCUGAAGUAGGUCCCAAGGGUAUGGCUGUUCGCCAUUUAAAGUGGUACGCGAGCUGGGUUUAGAACGUCGUGAGACAGUUCGGUCCCUAUCUGCCGUGGGCGCUGGAGAACUGAGGGGGGCUGCUCCUAGUACGAGAGGACCGGAGUGGACGCAUCACUGGUGUUCGGGUUGUCAUGCCAAUGGCACUGCCCGGUAGCUAAAUGCGGAAGAGAUAAGUGCUGAAAGCAUCUAAGCACGAAACUUGCCCCGA
This 2089-nucleotide ribosomal RNA is filed under the name Salmonella enterica. RNAcentral's name for it is "partial 23S ribosomal RNA". It matches the Rfam family "Bacterial large subunit ribosomal RNA", at positions 817 to 2802 of the family's 2925-position model. Lineage: Bacteria; Pseudomonadati; Pseudomonadota; Gammaproteobacteria; Enterobacterales; Enterobacteriaceae. The record is from RNAcentral.